GUGGGGAAUUUUGGACAAUGGGCGCAAGCCUGAUCCAGCAAUGCCGCGUGUGUGAAGAAGGCAUUCGGGUUGUAAAGCACUUUUGUCCGGAAAGAAAUCUCCUGGGUUAAUACCUCGGGGGGAUGACGGUACCGGAAGAAUAAGCACCGGCUAACUACGUGCCAGCAGCCGCGGUAAUACGUAGGGUGCGAGCGUUAAUCGGAAUUACUGGGCGUAAAGCGUGCGCAGGCGGCUAUGCAAGACAGAUGUGAAAUCCCCGGGCUCAACCUGGGAACUGCAUUUGUGACUGCAUGGCUAGAGUGCGUCAGAGGGAGGUGGAAUUCCGCGUGUAGCAGUGAAAUGCGUAGAGAUGCGGAGGAACACCGAUGGCGAAGGCAGCCUCCUGGGAUGACACUGACGCUCAUGCACGAAAGCGUGGGGAGCAAACAGGAUUAGAAACCCGGGUAGUCC
Molecule: ribosomal RNA, 450 nt
Filed under: uncultured bacterium
Lineage: Bacteria
Description: partial 16S ribosomal RNA
Rfam family: Bacterial small subunit ribosomal RNA
Source: RNAcentral